RNAcentral lists this ribosomal RNA (1319 nucleotides) under metagenome. Its description in RNAcentral is "bacterial SSU rRNA". It matches the Rfam family "Bacterial small subunit ribosomal RNA", at positions 30 to 1388 of the family's 1533-position model. The record is from RNAcentral.
UGAACGCUGGCGGCGCGUCUAAGGCAUGCAAGUCGAAUGUCGGUUUACCGGCAUGGCAAACGGGAGAGUAGCACAUUGGUAAUCUACCUCAAAGACGAGGAUAACCCUGCGAAAGCGGGGAUAAUACUCGAUAGUAGUAAAGAAUCGGAUGAUUUUUUACUUAAAGUUCCGGCGCUUUGAGAGGAGCCUAUGUUCUAUCAGCUUGUUGGUGAGGUAAUAGCUCACCAAGGCUACGACGGAUAGCGGGUGUGAGAGCACUGCCCGCCUCACUGGGACUGAGACACUGCCCAGACUCCUACGGGAGGCUGCAGUCAAGAAUCUUCCCCAAUGGCCGAAAGGCUGAGGGAGCGACGCCGCGUGUAUGAAGACGCCCUUCGGGGUGUAAAGUACUUUUAACUGGGACGAAUUUUGACUUUACCAGUUGAAUAAGGGGCUGCUAACCUCGUGCCAGCAGCAGCGGUAAUACGAGGGCCCCAAGCGUUAUCCGGAUUUAUUGGGCGUAAAGGGUCCGUAGGCGGUUUGUUGCAUCUUCUGUUAAAUCUAUUAGCUCAACUGAUAGGCUGCAGAAGAGAUGGACAGACUAGAGACCGGAAGAGGUAAGCGGAAUUGCUGGUGUAGGGGUUAAAUCCGUUAAUAUCAGCAAGAACACCAAAUGCGAAGGCAGCUUACUAGGACGGUUCUGACGCUGAGGGACGAAAGCGUGGGGAGCGAAUGGGAUUAGAUACCCCAGUAGUCCACGCCGUAAACGCUGAGUGCUAAGUAUCGGAAGUAUCGACCCUUUCGGUGCUGUUAUUGUAAGUUAACACGUUAAGCACUCCGCCUGGGAAGUACGAUCGCAAGAUUAAAACUCAAAGGAAUAGACGGGGACCCGCACAAGCGGUGGAGCAUGUGGUUUAAUUCGACAAUAAGCGAGGAACCUCACCAAGGUUUGACAUAUAGCUGCAAGUCCUGGAAACAGGAUCGCCUUCGAGGGUGCUAUACAGAUGCUGCAUGGUUGUCGUCAGCUCGUGUCGUGAGAUGUACCGUUAAGUCGGAAAACGAGCGCAACCCCUAUCCUAUGUUUUACAUGUCAUAGGAAACUGCCCGUUUUAAAUGGGAGGAAGGCGGGGAUGACGUCAAAUCAGCAUGGUUCCUACACCUUGGGCAACACACGUGCUACAAUGGGGUGUACAGAGGGACGCCAAGCCGUAAGGUGGAGCAAAUCCUUAAAACACUCCUCAGUUCGGAUCGAGGUCUGCAAUUUGACCUCGUGAAGCCGGAAUCGCUAGUAAUCGUGGAUCAGCUACGCCACGGUGAAUACGUUCUCGGGUCUUGUACUC